GAUGAAGAACGCAGCGAAAUGCGAUAAGUAAUGUGAAUUGCAGAAUUCAGUGAAUCAUCGAAUCUAUGAACGCACAUUGCGCCCGCCAGUAUUCUGGCGGGCAUGCCUGUUCGAGCGUCAUUACAACCCUCAGGCCCCCGGGCCUGGCGUUGGGGAUCGGCGGAGCCCCCCGUGGGCACACGCCGUCCCCCAAAUACAGUGGCGGUCCCGCCGCAGCUUCCAUCGCGUAGUAGCUAACACCUCGCGACUGGAGAGCGGCGCGGCCACGCCGUAAAACACCCAACUCUUCUGAAGUUGACCUCGAAUCAGGUAGGAAUACCCGCUGAACUUAAGCAUAUCAAUAAGCGGAGGA
RNAcentral lists this unclassified non-coding RNA (352 nucleotides) under soil metagenome. RNAcentral describes it as "partial contains 5.8S ribosomal RNA, internal transcribed spacer 2, and large subunit ribosomal RNA". The stretch from base 1 to 120 matches the Rfam family "5.8S ribosomal RNA", at positions 35 to 154 of the family's 154-position model. The record is from RNAcentral.